RNAcentral lists this ribosomal RNA (253 nucleotides) under uncultured bacterium. RNAcentral's name for it is "partial 16S ribosomal RNA". It matches the Rfam family "Bacterial small subunit ribosomal RNA", at positions 524 to 776 of the family's 1533-position model. The record is from RNAcentral.
UACGUAGGUGGCAAGCGUUGCCCGGAUUUACUGGGCGUAAAGGGAGCGUAGGCGGACUUUUAAGUGGGAUGUGAAAUACCCGGGCUUAACCUGGGUGCUGCAUUCCAAACUGGAAGUCUAGAGUGCAGGAGGGGAAAGUGGAAUUCCUAGUGUAGCGGUGAAAUGCGUAGAGAUUAGGAAGAACACCAGUGGCGAAGGCGACUUUCUGGACUGUAACUGACGCUGAGGCUAGAAAGCGUGGGGAGCGAACAGG